AGGUCAGUCGGGACUACCCGCUGAGUUAA
This 29-nucleotide ribosomal RNA is filed under the name Teucrium microphyllum. RNAcentral describes it as "partial 28S ribosomal RNA". The record is from RNAcentral. Lineage: Eukaryota; Viridiplantae; Streptophyta; Magnoliopsida; Lamiales; Lamiaceae.